CAGCAGCCGCGGUAAUACAGAGGAUGCAAGCGUUAUCCGGAAUUAUUGGGCGUAAAGGGCUCGCAGGCGGUUUCUUAAGUCUGAUGUGAAAGCCCCCGGCUCAACCGGGGAGGGUCAUUGGAAACUGGGAAACUUGAGUGCAGAAGAGGAGAGUGGAAUUCCACGUGUAGCGGUGAAAUGCGUAGAGAUGUGGAGGAACACCAGUGGCGAAGGCGACUCUCUGGUCUGUAACUGACGCUGAGGAGCGAAAGCGUGGGGAGCGAACAGGAUUAGAUACCCCAGUAGUCCCUGUCUCUUAUAC
This 301-nucleotide ribosomal RNA is filed under the name uncultured bacterium. RNAcentral describes it as "partial 16S ribosomal RNA". It matches the Rfam family "Bacterial small subunit ribosomal RNA", at positions 509 to 807 of the family's 1533-position model. The record is from RNAcentral.